UGGGCGUAAGAGCUCGUAGGCGGUUUGUCGCGUCUGCUGUGAAAUCCCGAGGCUCAACCUCGGGCUUGCAGUGGGUACGGGCAGACUAGAGUGCGGUAGGGGAGAUUGGAAUUCCUGGUGUAGCGGUGGAAUGCGCAGAUAUCAGGAGGAACACCGAUGGCGAAGGCAGAUCUCUGGGCCGUAACUGACGCUGAGGAGCGAAAGCAUGGGGAGCGAACAGGAUUAGAUACCCUGGUAGUCCAUGCCGUAAACGUUGGGCGCUAGAUGUAGGGACCUUUCCACGGUUUCUGUGUCGUAGCUAACGCAUUAAGCGCCCCGCCUGGGGAGUACGGCCGCAAGGCUAAAACUCAAAGGAAUUGACGGGGGCCCGCACAAGCGGCGGAGCAUGCGGAUUAAUUCGAUGCAACGCGAAGAACCUUACCAAGGCUUGACAUACACCGGAAACGGCCAGAGAUGGUCGCCCCCUUGUGGUCGGUGUACAGGUGGUGCAUGGUUGUCGUCAGCUCGUGUCGUGAGAUGUUGGGUUAAGUCCCGCAACGAGCGCAACCCUCGUUCUAUGUUGCCAGCGGGUCAUGCCGGGGACUCAUAGGAGACUGCCGGGGUCAACUCGGAGGAAGGUGGGGAUGACGUCAAAUCAUCAUGCCCCUUAUGUCUUGGGCUUCACGCAUGCUACAAUGGCCGGUACAAAGGGCUGCGAUACCGUAAGGUGGAGCGAAUCCCAAAAAGCCGGUCUCAGUUCGGAUUGAGGUCUGCAACUCGACCUCAUGAAGUCGGAGUCGCUAGUAAUCGCAGAUCAGCAACGCUGCGGUGAAUACGUUCCCGGGCCUUGUACACACCGCCCGUCAAGUCAUGAAAGUCGGUAACACCCGAAGCCGGUGGCCUAACCCUUGUGGAAGAGCCGUCGAAGUGGGAUCGGUGAUA
This 921-nucleotide ribosomal RNA is filed under the name Curtobacterium sp. Its description in RNAcentral is "bacterial SSU rRNA". It matches the Rfam family "Bacterial small subunit ribosomal RNA", at positions 555 to 1476 of the family's 1533-position model. Lineage: Bacteria; Bacillati; Actinomycetota; Actinomycetes; Micrococcales; Microbacteriaceae. The record is from RNAcentral.